Molecule: transfer RNA, 499 nt
Filed under: Borreliella garinii
Lineage: Bacteria; Pseudomonadati; Spirochaetota; Spirochaetia; Spirochaetales; Borreliaceae
Description: partial 16S-23S ribosomal RNA intergenic spacer
Rfam family: tRNA (bases 175-248)
Source: RNAcentral
CUAAGAGAAAGAUCAAUUAAGGCUAAUUCCAUUAACUCUUCCCUACUCUUUUCUUUUGGUAAAAGAGUUUUUAAAACCAAGAUUAUUUUUAUAGGCUUGAGAACAGUUUUUAUAUUUAUUUUUUUAGGAAUAUUAAAGAAUUUCGUUAAGCCUAAGCUUGAGUUUAGAUUGAUUGGGGGUUUAGCUCAGUUGGCUAGAGCAUCGGCUUUGCAAGCCGAGGGUCAAGGGUUCGAGUCCCUUAACCUCCAUUACGCAUAUAGAUUAAGCAUGUUGUUAAUAGUAAAUCAUAAUUUUAAAUUUUGAAGUGAAGGGCUUUUAUAUUGCUAGAUGUGCAUUUUAAAUCUAAUAUAACGGCAAUUGGUCAUUUUAAAAUUGAGAUUAUAUUCUAAAUAUUACUUAAUAUUUACCAAAUGUUUUAUUGUUCUGAUUAAUUGGCCUAAAGGAAUGCCUAAGUGAUUAUAAUAAUGGAACACAUUGGGACCAGGAUGAGUUGAACAUC